This 1647-nucleotide ribosomal RNA is filed under the name uncultured eukaryote. Its description in RNAcentral is "SSU rRNA". It matches the Rfam family "Eukaryotic small subunit ribosomal RNA". The record is from RNAcentral.
GCUUAACCUGGUUGAUCCUGCCAGUGGUCAUAUGCUUGUCUUAAAGAUUAAGCCAUGCAUGUCUAAGCAUAGCUGGCAACAGUGAAGCCGCGAAUAGCUCAUUACAACAGCCGUUGUUUCUUGGAUCUAUACUCUACUUGGAUAACUGUGGUAAUUCUAGAGCUAAUACAUGCAUCAAGACCUGACGCAAGGAUGGUCGCAUUUAUUUGAACAAAACCGACCGGUCUUCGGACCGUUCUUUGGUGACUCUGAAUAACUGAGCAAAUCACAUGGUCUCGCACCGGUGAUGUAUCUUUCAAGUGUCUGCCUUAUCAACUUUCGAUGGUAGUUUAUGUGCCUACCAUGGUUGUUACGGGUAACGGAGAAUCAGGGUUUGACUCCGGAGAGGGAGCCUGAGAAACGGCUACCACUUCUAAGGAAGGCAGCAGGCGCGCAAAUUACCCAUUCUCGGUACGAGGAGGUAGUGACGAAAAAUACCAAGUUGGGGCUCUUAUGAGUUUCGACAUUGGAAUGAGAACAAUCCAAAUCUUUUAACGAGGAACUAGUGGAGGGCAAGUCUGGUGCCAGCAGCCGCGGUAAUUCCAGCUCCGCAAGUGUAUAUCUAUAUUGCUGAGGUUAAAAAGCUCGUAGUUGGAUCUGCGUGUCUAGCACCUGGUGCGGUCUUUGAUCGCUACUGGGCUGCGACACAUUGUGUGUCGGUUGGCCGUUGAUGCUCUUAACCGGGUGUCAUCCGUGACUGACGAGUUUACUUUGAACAAACUAGAGUGCUCAACUCAGGCGUUUCGCUCGUAUAUUUCUGCAUGGAAUAAUAGAAUAGGACCUUUGGUUCUAUUUUGUUGGUUUUCGGAACUGAGGUAAUGAUUAAGAGGGACUGACGGGGGCAUUCGUACUGCGACGUGAGAGGUGAAAUUCUUGGAUCGUCGCAAGACGCACUACUGCGAAGGCAUUUGCCAAGAAUGUUUUCAUUAAUCAAGAACGAAAGUAACGGGUUCGAAGGCGAUCAGAUACCGCCCUAGUCGUUACCGUAAACUAUUGCGACGACGAGCAUGCACGUGUUUUUGAUGACCGUGUAUGAACGUAACCAGAAAUGCUAGUUUUUGGUGUCCUGGGGGAGUAUAGCUACGCAAGUCCGAAACUUAAAGGAAUUGACGGAAGGGCACCACCAGGGGUGGAGCCUGCGGCUUAAUUUGACUCAACACGGGGAAACUCACCCGGCCCGGACACCGGAAGGAUUGACAGAUUGAGAGCUCUUUCUUGAUUCGGUGGGUGGUGGUGCAUGGCCGUUCUUAGUUGGUGGAGUGAUUUGUCUGGUUAAUUCCGAUAACGAACGAGACUCUGGCCUACUAACUAGUGAGUGGAUCUUUGGUCUGCUCGACUUCUUAGAGGGACAAGCAGCGUUUAGCUGCAUGAAAAAGAGCAAUAACAGGUCUGUGAUGCCCUUAGAUGUCCGGGGCUGCACGCGCGCUACACUGAAGGAAUCAGCGUGUGGGACUGCCUGGCUUGAGAGAGUUGGGUAAUCCGGUGAAAAUCCUUCGUGAUUGGGAUCGGGACUUGCAAUUAUUUCCCUUGAACGAGGAAUCCCUAGUAAGUACGGGUCAUCAGCUCGUGCUGAUUACGUCCCUGCCCCUUGUACACACCGCCCAAGCC